AGUUCAACAGGGACGGACGGACGGGGAAUACGUAUUCGAACUAAACGAACGUGUAACCAUGACUGACGUGUUGGUUUAUUUUUAUUUUUUUCUUCGCCCCUUACAAAGUAAGACUAGCACGUGCAUGCGAUUAACACGAAUCGCGUAGACGCGUUAACACACGGAUCACGUAUAGAGGUAACAUGUAGAGCAGAAGAAGAAGAAUGAACGAAACAACAAAGUCGGAUCGAACGCGAUGAUGUAACUUCUGUUCCGAUGUGUCAUUGUUAUUGAUGUAUCGUUAUGGUUAGCUAUGUAUAUCUGCUAUUGUACGUUCAGUUACUAAAGACAAAACCAAAACAAUUUCCAAACCCAGACCAAGUUUUGUUAUUUGAAUGGCAAAUAAUUGCAAGAGCAUAGAUCAAAUGAAAUCUAAGCUGAAUUCAAUUUAUUAUAAUUUCCUUCAUUUUAUUGAGAAUUAUAAAAUCAUGCUAAAAGAAGCAACUACUGAGUAUAAACAAUUUCAAG
This is a long non-coding RNA of Sipha flava (yellow sugarcane aphid), 507 nucleotides long. RefSeq lists it as uncharacterized. The transcript has 3 exons. Lineage: Eukaryota; Metazoa; Arthropoda; Insecta; Hemiptera; Aphididae. The record is from RefSeq and is a predicted model, not a curated record.